Molecule: ribosomal RNA, 492 nt
Filed under: uncultured bacterium
Lineage: Bacteria
Description: partial 16S ribosomal RNA
Rfam family: Bacterial small subunit ribosomal RNA
Source: RNAcentral
AGUGAACGCUGGCGGUAGGCCUAACACAUGCAAGUCGAACGGCAGCACAGUAAGAGCUUGCUCUUACGGGUGGCGAGUGGCGGACGGGUGAGGAAUACAUCGGAAUCUACUUUUUCGUGGGGGAUAACGUAGGGAAACUUACGCUAAUACCGCAUACGACCUACGGGUGAAAGCAGGGGAUCUUCGGACCUUGCGCGAUUGAAUGAGCCGAUGUCGGAUUAGCUAGUUGGCGGGGUAAAGGCCCACCAAGGCGACGAUCCGUAGCUGGUCUGAGAGGAUGAUCCGCCACACUGGAACUGAGACACGGUCCAGACUCCUACGGGAGGCAGCAGUGGGGAAUAUUGGACAAUGGGCGCAAGCCUGAUCCAGCCAUACCGCGUGGGUGAAGAAGGCCUUCGGGUUGUAAAGCCCUUUUGCUGGGAAAGAAAAGCAGCAGGUUAAUACCCCGCUGUUCUGACGGUACCCAAAGAAUAAGCACCGGCUAACUUCGUG